RNAcentral lists this ribosomal RNA (450 nucleotides) under uncultured bacterium. RNAcentral describes it as "SSU rRNA". It matches the Rfam family "Bacterial small subunit ribosomal RNA", at positions 26 to 518 of the family's 1533-position model. The record is from RNAcentral.
AGAGCGAACGCUGGCGGCAGGCUUAACACAUGCAAGUCGAGCGGGCGUAGCAAUACGUCAGCGGCAGACGGGUGAGUAACGCGUGGGAACAUACCUUUUGGUUCGGAACAACACAGGGAAACUUGUGCUAAUACCGGAUAAGCCCUUACGGGGAAAGAUUUAUCGCCGAAAGAUUGGCCCGCGUCUGAUUAGCUAGUUGGUGAGGUAAUGGCUCACCAAGGCGACGAUCAGUAGCUGGUCUGAGAGGAUGAUCAGCCACAUUGGGACUGAGACACGGCCCAAACUCCUACGGGAGGCAGCAGUGGGGAAUAUUGGACAAAUGGGCGCGAAGCCUGAUCCAGCCAUGCCGCGUGAGUGAUGAAGGCCCUAGGGUUGUAAAGCUCUUUUGUGCGGGAAGAGUAAUGACGGUACCGCAAGAAUAAGCCCGGCUAACUUCGUGCCAGCAGCCGC